Molecule: unclassified non-coding RNA, 2301 nt
Filed under: Hevea brasiliensis (rubber tree)
Lineage: Eukaryota; Viridiplantae; Streptophyta; Magnoliopsida; Malpighiales; Euphorbiaceae
Source: RNAcentral
GAUAAUGCUUCACUAGCAGUCUUUGAUAUAGGAACAUUAGACAGAUGGGAGACAAAAGCAUAAUAUGAAGGAGAUAAGUUGUGAUAAGUUAAGAAAUUGUAAAUAGGAUGAGGGUUAUGAGAAGAAUGACUACCCUUUCAAAGAGUAAUAGGUGGAGUUACCAGAAUCUAGGAUUGAUGGAUCAAUUGAUGAGGGUUUGGUUAGACAAGUAAAGGAAUUACCAGAAUGGAUAACAUGAUAGAGAAAAGAAAAAACAGAACAACGAAGUGGUAGGAAGAAGAGGAUAGAGAUUUUUAUUCAAAAUACACAAAUGGGUCCAGGUGGAUAUAAGACACUAAGAUCUCUAUCUCACCCAACGGUAAGAAUACUGCCCCUAAGCAACAAGAUAGCUGGAAGAAACAUUACAAUUCAGAUCAUACCCUCCCCCAACUCUUCCUCUCCUAUUUAUAAUUACCCCUAGCUAUCGUUUCUUAUGCAUCCAGAAAUCACUUAGCAGAAUAAUGCUGAACUGGCUCUCCACCUAUCCAUUUUAUGUAACUUUCUUGUCUCUUUUAGAAUAUACGCUCCAGCUCUUUUUCUUCCUUCUUGGUUCAGCUGUAGCAUGUUCUGUAUCAUAACACUGGAUAAGGAUGAAUGUUGCUUUGCUGUUUGAUACUGCAAAUAUCCCUUAUAGUCAACCCUAGUGAAAGUAACUUAGGUAUCUUAUCUGAUCUGUUACACAUAUUCAAUGACUAUCCAGAAGUUAUAAUCCACAACUAAUAAUAAUCUAUAUCCUAAAGAUAAUGCUCACAGCCACACGGACCAAUGACAAAUAUAAAAGAAUAGCUCUGAGUAAUUGUACCGAAAGAUCAGUAAAGAAGAAAUUGAAGGAGGGAGGACUGAGAAAUCAAAGGACCUAGUGACUAUGUGGGUCCAAUUUGAGGUCAUUGGAGUGCGGCGAGGUGGCUGGAGUGGACGGGACAGAAAAAGGUGGCCAGAGUGUCACUCACACGCUAGCGCGUGGAAUUGGGGGCUAGAUAGCUGUGGCGGUUUUUGGGGGGCCCACAUUGGGGUUUCCAAUGACCAGAUUUCUUGGGGAGAGUCGCCGGCACUAGGUGAUGCUUUUGAGGUGGGCAGUAAGACAAAGGAACGUCACACGCCUACCCUUAGAGAGAGAGAGAUUCUUUGAUUUUUCUGUGACGGAGAAUGAAACAGAGAAGGGAAGAUGAGCUGGAUAUUAGUAACCUAGCUGUGAUACCAUGUGAGAAAGAAGAGAGAAUAAAAUUUUUGUGAAAGGAAAAACUUAAUUCAUUCCUUUGAGCAAGAUUUGUAUAUAUAGAGUUAUAGGGAAUAGGAAGCUAUCACAGUUGCAUAGGAAUUCUAAUUCCUAUUUACAUAAAUACAUCCUAAAUUAGAGCAACUAAUUUAGAGUUAAUAAGGAAACACAUCUUAGUAGAGUCGAUAUAACCAAGGCUCCAAUUGUAAUCUCACAUUGCUUUCUUCCCAAUUCUUCCUGAUUAUUUGAUGACUCUUCCCUAACCUUUUGCAAAAACAUCAAUUUCCACACCAUGGACUCUUCAUAUUCAAAAUCAUCAUCCUCAUCCUCGCCUUAUUUGGGUUUGCAGCAAAUUUCUUUUUGUUUUUCAACAAAGUUCACAGUUUUCCUCCUUGUACAUUCGUGUGACCUAUGCCCCUCUUCAUUGCAUUUAUAAUGUUUAAUAAGAGUUGGUUUAGCAUAGGGAUUUGUACCUUUUGGGGUAUUGGAACUUGUCGCCUUAUCAACUCUACCUGUUGGAUUCUUGUUGCUUGCCUUCUUCCCUUUGGCAACAUUAGCACAAUGGGAACCUUCCUCUUCCUCUUUCCCAACUAUAGCCCAUUCGUUGUCUUCAUUAUACCUAGGACAAGAAUCAUGGUGCACCUUUUCGUACGUCAUCAUCUUCGCCUUUAACGCCAUAUUCUUUGCCUCGGACAAAGUUCUUAGCACUUGAACACCAAUUUGAUCCUUGAUUAUGGGCCUCAAUUAUUCCAAAUACCUUGCAACUUGUUGCCCCUCGGUUUCGUGAAGAUUAUUCCUCUUGGCUAAUUUCAUGAACUUAAUAGUGCACUCAAGGACUGUUCGGUUUCCUUGUUGACACCAAUGGUACUUUGGGAAGAGAAUCUGUUCGGAAAAUAGAAUGUAAAGGAUAAUCAAACACGCCUAAGCUUUGGAACAAGGCAAACAAAAUUGGAAAACAAAAAAACUUAUGAAAGACUCAAACUACAUGCCAAAAUAAGAAGAUAAGCUCUUUUGUUAUAGUUUUUUAUGAUUUAAGAACAUAAACA